UACAGAGGUCUCAAGCGUUGUUCGGAAUCACUGGGUGUAAAGGGAGCGCAGACGGCAGCGCAAGUCUGGAGUGAAAGCCCGGGGCCCAACCCCGGAACUGCUCUGGAAACUGUGCGGCUAGAGUACUGGAGGGGCAGGCGGAAUUCCUAGUGUAGCGGUGAAAUGCGUAGAUAUUAGGAGGAACACCAGUGGCGAAGGCGGCCUGCUGGACAGUAACUGACGUUGAGGCUCGAAAGCGUGGGGAGCAAAAAGG
Molecule: ribosomal RNA, 253 nt
Filed under: uncultured Lachnospiraceae bacterium
Lineage: Bacteria; Bacillati; Bacillota; Clostridia; Lachnospirales; Lachnospiraceae
Description: partial 16S ribosomal RNA
Rfam family: Bacterial small subunit ribosomal RNA
Source: RNAcentral